RNAcentral lists this long non-coding RNA (420 nucleotides) under Phoenix dactylifera (date palm). RNAcentral's name for it is "long non-coding RNA (PDAC_LNC014725)". The record is from RNAcentral. Lineage: Eukaryota; Viridiplantae; Streptophyta; Magnoliopsida; Arecales; Arecaceae.
CUUUGAAAUAGAGGAAAUAAAAUCAAUUUACAAAAGAAAUCAUUUCACAAUUCGGAAUCAAUUUGAUUACUCAUCAACCCUCAUAAUUCCUCUCAAUGUUCCCUCAAAUGCAUGUACAGAAUAAUCAAGCAUGGAGAAUUAAGAUUAUAGAGGAAUCUACUACAACAAUUAAUCAAUAAGCUCAGGUGGAAUCAAGUCACACUUGGCAACAUUUAUGAAAAUGAAUAAGGAAUGUGCUAAUGGUGCAAAGUACAAACUCCCACUCACCUGUCAAUCCGGCACAGCCCUGAUAUGCCUCCAAAAAUCUACAGCAGGCAGUGGGAAACUUCCUCCUCUUGUUUUCUAGCUUCUUGCCCAACUGUGACAUGCAUUUACAAUACAUUUAGUCCUGUAUCAAGGGCUAUAAUCUACGUGCCAAUU